Molecule: small RNA, 29 nt
Filed under: Bombyx mori (domestic silkworm)
Lineage: Eukaryota; Metazoa; Arthropoda; Insecta; Lepidoptera; Bombycidae
Description: ovarian small RNA-34581
Source: RNAcentral
UGGACUCUGAGCACGUCCGCACGUGACGG